RNAcentral lists this transfer RNA (69 nucleotides) under Rhinebothrium flexile. Its description in RNAcentral is "tRNA-Gly". Lineage: Eukaryota; Metazoa; Platyhelminthes; Cestoda; Rhinebothriidea; Rhinebothriidae. The record is from RNAcentral.
ACAUUAUUAGUAUAAAAUUUAAUAUAUUACUUUUCCAAAGUAAUGAUCUACAUAAAAGUAGAUAAUGUA